CAAUCCUGGGUUGACUCCCUCGCGCUUUUGAGGCAAAAAUGUUUCGAUAAAACAGCCGGAGGCUCGGCAGAUGUAAUUGAUGGGUUUCGGAGCUGCAUUCUGUAUCCUCUUUAAGUAAAUGCUGUGGUGCUAAACUGUCCGAUGGUCUCUGAGAAAGUAUCUGUUAUCAGGUGUAACAUUAUUCAAUGCUUUUCAGACUGUAAACCAGUUCCUUAUAAAUGCCUCUUUUGUUUUUCCAGUUUCCCAUCA
Struthio camelus australis is the source of this 249-nucleotide non-coding RNA. The record is from RefSeq and is a predicted model, not a curated record. Lineage: Eukaryota; Metazoa; Chordata; Aves; Struthioniformes; Struthionidae.